RNAcentral lists this long non-coding RNA (2202 nucleotides) under Trifolium pratense (red clover). RNAcentral's name for it is "long non-coding RNA (TPRA_LNC002498)". Lineage: Eukaryota; Viridiplantae; Streptophyta; Magnoliopsida; Fabales; Fabaceae. The record is from RNAcentral.
AAUAAUAUACAAUUGUACAUACAUAUAGAUAUUCAAUACAUAAGUCUCAUCCACCAAAACUAACAUCUAAGUUAACCUAAGCAACCAUAUGAUGUUCAUACGUAUAAAGACAAGACAAACUAAUUAAGCUAAGCAAUCCUCUGCCAUUUUCCAAACCAAUCCAGCAUCUCUUUCAUGUUUUCAAGAAGUCCCUGAAAAAUUAAAAAUAGAAAAUCAAGGUAGUAAUAUUAUGCAUAUAUAUGGAGAGUAUUGAAAGUGGCCUGAUACUUGUGAAAGAGAUAACCAUAAACAUAUAGGAAUCAAAAUCCUAGCCAAAAGAAAGUAUUUAUGUGAUUGGUAAGCAUGUAAUGACAUGAAGAUUUGGUUUAAUUGAAGUUUGAGACACUAACAAACCUUUGCCUUGGUCUAACACUUUAAAUCUAAUUGUGGCCGAAGAGAGAGAUGACCAGCAAUUCGUUUUCCAAGGAACCAUGGCAUGCACUGUAGCAGAGAAAAAAAUAGAAAAACAGAACUAUAACAUGAACCCAAACCAGAGCAGGGUAUAUACAGCAGACAAAUAUGCAAAUCCAAUUUUGUAACUUACCCAAUUUUGUUUCAUGCCUUAUCCACCUUCCCCCGAGGAUAACAUUUGUGAACAUAUAUUCUGCCGAGUAAGGGAGUAUGUGCAGGUCAUGAAAAUCAACGCAAGUAUGGAGGNNGUGUGGCUGGUUGUGGUGGUGUUGUGAAACUAAACUCAUGACUAAUACUUAGUCACCAAAACAAACAGUUUAAACUAUUUGUGCAUUAUGCUAAUAAAUCCUACAAAGUUUAACAUGUUUUCUUUGCUUUACGCAGUUUUCUUAUCUAGCUAAAAACUACCUGUGUACUUGUCCAAAAGGGAAAUACAGAACUCCCAUCUAAACUAAACAUGUUCCCAAUAGGUUAAUCAAGUAUGUGCAAUUUGAGAAUCAAGUGAAUUCAUCUCAUAGGCCUAAUAUGCACAACUCCUCAUAUGCAACCCACAUUAGAGGAUCCAUCGAUAGUGCCUGUCUUAAAUUAAAAGAAUAGUAUGCUGAUCACUUACAACACUUACACUUACAUAAGAUAUUCAUUGAACUUAUACAACACUUACACUUGAAAAUUCAGUCUCAGAUGUAAUAGAAUUCAACUUUAAGCUUAAAAAAUUAUAUGUGUUUGUGCACACAUAGAGUGGUAAUGCCGAAAUACUAGCCCAUUGUAAUACCGAAAUUAUGUAAUUAAAUGUUAUAACACUUAAGCCUAUCUAAAGUAACUAAAUGUUAUAACACUUAUAAGCCAUCACAUACAGAAUACAACACAGAUGAAAUUUCAACUAGCAAAAUAGCAAGAAAAGUUUAAUCUAGAACCAAAGGACAUAGCAAGCAAUGGGGGCCUUAAAGUGGAGUCAUUACCUCUGAACUUCUUCUGAGAACAACUUAUCAGACUUGCAUUUUAACAUUCCAUUAAACUUGAAGGAAGAGAAUAAAUCUUUUAGAGAGGAUGACGACCGAAGAUUUUUGACCACCUCCUAACAAGCGGUUGCGCUAAUGUUAGGUUUACUCUCAAACACAUGAAUCUCAAUAACUCCUAGAACCUCAAUAGGCUUCUUCUAAACUGAUAAGAUAAAAAAAUAAGAGAAUAAUAACAAAGUUUUCUACUUUAAAAAAAAUAAUGAGUUUUAUUAUAGAAUCACCUGACCAAUAAUUUCAACUUUCAAUUAAGUAGUGCAAACCUGAAAAUAUUGAUAAAUAAUGAGCUAUAUAAUCUCCCCAUGUGAUAACAAGCUGCAGAGUAUAAUGUUAUGUUAUAGAUGCACCCUUGCUAAACCCUCCAGUCCUAACUUUCAUUGUCACAUAAUGAAGAAAACAACUCAUCAUUCAAAAAGGAGAUCAAUAAAAUUGGAACCCUAAGCAAUGGAACCACAAAAAUUGAAUGACAAAAUUCUGAAAUUCAGAUCUUCCAUAAAAACGUGAAAGUUUAGGUCACCGGGAUAAAGUUUAAUAUCUUCACAAUAGAAAGAAAAAACAUUGAAACAAAAAUAUAUACAAAAUGCAAAGAAACAAGUCUUUGAACAAAUCGAUACAAAAGUGGCCAAUAUCUAAACAAAAUCCAAAAACACCAAACCACAAAACAACUAGCCAAAACACCCCAACAAGAACCACAUCAGUGCAGAACUAUAAAUCAAACUACAAAACUACCAACAAC